GCUUCCUGGCUUUGUGUCAGGAUACAUUUAUUUCAUAUUUGUCUUAGCUGUUUGUCAUGUGAUUUUAGCAUAUACAACUAUUUAUUACCGCGAAACAGAUAAAAAACAGGCUUUGCACGCUGCAUUAAGUGCAGUUUAUUUUAAUUUUAAAGGCUAAAGUAAUCGGGUUGUAUAUUGCUUUUUGUUGUAAUUACACAAAAUCUAACUCUGGUCACGUCUUCUAUGGUACUUCCGGUUUGCGGAUCUUGCGGAGGUCGUUUUUUCUAAUUUACUUUAAUCUCAACGUCUCCUACUUUUUCCAGUUGGUUUGAGUUAAACUUUGCCCCCUGACGUUGCCGUAACUCUCCUCGUGUGAACACGUUUGUGUUUACAUGCUUUUGACGUUUGAUUUUACCGCAUGAGUCUCUGCAGCUUAACCGUUUAGUGAGUCAGGUUAACUGUCGUCAUGUUUUGAAUCCUGUGUGCAGGAAUUUUAUAAAUGUGAGGAACCAUGCAUCAAACUGUUGCAAGAAGGUGGCUGUUUUGGGUGACCUGGUAGACAACCUACUUCCUUGAUAAUGGCAGGCAGCAGAGGAACCGGUUUAUGUAUUUACAGUAAGCAGGUGGAAUGUGCUAGCGACCGUCGAGCCGCUUCUGCCACCGGGACUGGAGGCAGCCAACAGACGUGAGCUCACCAUCAGCACAAUGAGAGGCGUGGCCGCGCCUGUCACCGCCGUGGACCUGAUGUUGCCGUGGAGACAGGCCACGCACACACUCGCAGGCACACGCGCUCGGAGAUUGGCUUCGAGUGACACCGUCGGGAAAUUAAAGCGGUAGCCCAAGGCAACGAGGAUUUAUUGGCCAAUCACAGCAGUGUCUGUUGUGUUUACCUUGCAGGAUUGUGCGUCUCACUGAGGGAGUGUGUGUAUUUACGCACAGGUGCACCACGCACGCCUCGACUAAUUAGAACGACAACGUCAGCUAGUGUUGGAGAAAUAUUCACCACGCUUGUCUGCCAUUGGCCGUCGCACUCACAAGAGCAAUUAGCGGCGCAUCAGAUCAGUUUACAGCUGUGUUGCGCGUGCGUUUGGGGCUGUCGGCACAGGCAGCGUCCCUUCUGACCCUGGAGGGAGAAACGCAAACCUCGCCGCAUGCUCUGCAAAUCACCUCACGGCCACACGUACCGCGGCACU
Long non-coding RNA from Betta splendens (Siamese fighting fish), 1172 nucleotides. RefSeq lists it as uncharacterized. The record is from RefSeq and is a predicted model, not a curated record. Lineage: Eukaryota; Metazoa; Chordata; Actinopteri; Anabantiformes; Osphronemidae. The transcript is spliced from 3 exons.